UACAGGGGGUGCAACCGUUGCUCGGAAUCAUUGGGCGUAAAGCGCACGUAGGCGGUUCGUUAUGUCGGAUGUGAAAGCCCUUGGCUUAACCGAGGAAGUGCAUCCGAAACUGGCGAGCUAGAGUACGAAAGAGGAUCGCGGAAUUCCCGGUGUAGAGGUGAAAUUCGUAGAUAUCGGGAGGAACACCGGUGGCGAAGGCGGGACUCUGGGCCGAUACUGACGCUGAGGAGCGAAAGCGUGGGGAGCGAACAGG
This 253-nucleotide ribosomal RNA is filed under the name uncultured bacterium. Its description in RNAcentral is "partial 16S ribosomal RNA". It matches the Rfam family "Bacterial small subunit ribosomal RNA", at positions 524 to 776 of the family's 1533-position model. The record is from RNAcentral.